GUUACGAAAGCAUUCAGACGUGUAGCUAUGUCAGGAGAUGUCUGCGUGUAAACGAGCGAAAACACGAACCGAUCAGCCGAUAGCAACUGGAAUUGAAACCCGAAAUAAUUAAAUUAUCGGGCAGCAUCGCGAAACAAUUUUCGGCCAAUAUUGACUUGUCCAAUGAGUUCCAAGUCAACGGACAUUCGCUGUGUUUCCAGCAGCUCUCACCCAACGAGCAAAGCGAGACCAGAGGUCUAGGAGCCAAAAGGAAAGGAAUGAAGUCAAAUCGAAUUCUUAACCCUAAUAGAAUCAUUAAACCCGAGACAGCGAGCCGGGAAAUCUUUAGCUUUAACGGUUCUAACCCUAUGAAAAAAGGAACAAGUGAAUUAAUUACACAAUAAAAAGACCCGCUGCGAAGAAUAUUGAGCCUCUUAAGCUAACUAUCUCCGAAAACGGCGCAUUUCAUGGAGUAUUUUGCUUAAACGUUCUACUUUUCUAAUUCUUGGAACCCACCCAUACAGAAACUUCAUCCAUUCGAGCUGGGAGAUGGCGCUCACUGAAUCCAAGUAUUGUCUUGGCUAAGCGCUAGUAUAAUGCCUCGCGUCAUUUCUAAACGCAGCUAAUGGGGCUUUCCCGAGCAGCCGUCACUUGCAGCUUGCACUUUAAUGCAUUUUAUAUAACUAUUAGCUAUGUGUUAACUAUUUCACUGGAACAUUAUUAACACUGUAUCUACUUUCUAUUGAAACGGUUCCAUACAAUGUUGAAUAAAUAUGUAAUUAUUUUAUUUUUAUUCUCAAGGGAAAAAUAAAUUACUUAGAACAUUGUAAGGCCGUUUACAUACGACGCGGCGUCAGGAUUUGUCAUCCGCCAAAAAACCGGACCGCAGAGAAAUAACGCCGUUAAUUGUGAUUCAGAUAAAAAUGAUAUUUUUGGAGAAGUGCAAAUAAAAAAAACAAAGCAUACCCCAUAACUGGACGCUAAAUGUUGCGUGGACUAAGUUGUAUUGCGUGAUGGACGCUGCGCCACGUGUACACACGGCCUAAGUAUGCAACCGCAAUGUUCAAUAGGUAUGUCGGAAUUCAUGUGUCUUUCAAGAGACUUCAUUAUCAUAAUAAUUAGAUCAGUUCUAUCAGAUAAUGAGCACACAGGUAAUGAGUAACCACAUAAAUUAUGUACAUAAAAAAUUCAAACAUUCAAAAUAUUGACAUAAUUUUAAAGAAAUAACUAAAGCGACUACAGCAUAAGGGCAUGUUGGUUAAAAACAUCAAGGACCGACACGCAGAACGAACGAUGAUGAAAUGAACUAGAUAUUUACUAGCGACAGUACGUACAAUAAUCUUCAUAGCGCUCGUUUGGAAAUACGAGGGCCUACGUCGCGCCUAUAAAAUAUGCAAAGCUUUCCAACGGAUAUUGAUGGCUUGCCCCAAUUAUACGAGCAGACCGGCGGUGGCAAGUUAGUGCUUCAUUUUACAAUUAAAUUUGCAACUGUAAAAUGAAGCAAAAGCAAGUGUAAGUAAUGAAAAGAGAUUGUGGAAUUAAAAAACAAAUAAAUGAUUAGCGUGCUCUAAAAAUAAUUUGUGUAAUUGAUUGAGAUGGCCUUGUUACCUUCAGCUUUUAUUACUAUACAUAAGUAGCUUGGUAGGUAUUUAGUUAAUAACCUUAAUAAAAAAUCGAUGUCGUAGUAUGACAGAUAAAUGAAAUUAAGAAACUUAAAAAAAUCUUCCGACGUACUGUUUCAACUCAUGUAAUUUUGAUGUAUGGUAUAUGACAGAUACGUGAAUCUACAAAAUAGGAAAAUUCGAGAGAUGUCAUGAACACUCGCAUCGCAUCGCAACGCGCGACGGCGAGAACACAAAAUUGUGAAAUGAUUGUCGACUGCCGAGGCGAUGUGCAUGGCUGGACAUUUUUAACAAACGAUUGCGCGGUGGAAUUACUCUCGUGCCGCACCUGUAAUUCUGCGCUCAAAACUCACUAGUUUAAUUACUCUCUCAUCUCUGCAUGUUUCCGGUUGCGUUCGGGGUUGUGAAGCCGCGGAAACUUUGGUCAGCGUAAACCUUAAAACUUUGAAGAUUCGGCUGUGAUUUUAUAUACACAUAAGUUAUUUUAGGUAAAAGCUUAUGAGACUUUUAAAACAAAUACUGAUGUCUGGGUCAUAUACAUAUGUAAUUAUAGAUAUAAAAUACAGAAACUUAAAAGUUUCUAUAUUGAAUAUUCUAUAUUUUAAUACUUAGUUUCUCUCGGCUGAAUUCUCUCAGUGUCGCCUCGACACCCUAAUAGCUAGUAGUAGCAGUAGUAACGCAUUGGUUUUAACGGAUUUUCAGCAAUUUAUAAAAUAGACUGAAAUUCCAUUAUUAUUUAUUUAUUUAACUUCAUCAAAAUAAGCCCAAGAAAAAUGGGAUUUACCUAUUUCCAAAGUUCAAAGGAUUUUCAGUUAGUCAUCUUAAAUAGAUGACUAACUGAAAAUCCUUUGAACUAUGUAAAGGGAAAUUACAAAGCUAAAGCACAGAUUGUAAUAACAUGUUAUUUACUUCUAUACAAAAUAACCUAUUAAGAUAUAAAUUAAAAAUUUUAAAAAUAAUAUUGUUCUCUCUGUUGUCGCUACGUUCUUUGAUAACGCAAAAUUAUAUUAUUCUUAACAGAAAUGGAAUAUAACAAAAAGAAAUUUGAGAAACGAGUGUAUUUUUGUUUAAUUAAAGCUGUGUUGUAUUCAUAUUUAUUAAUAUUAAAUUCUGGGUACGGCGCCGCUCCACGGGACAAGCCUACGGCUUCAACAGAAAAUAAUGAAUUACGAACAAGAACGAGAGAAACAUGUUCAGAUGGUUCCAUAUCUU
Long non-coding RNA from Plodia interpunctella (Indianmeal moth), 2813 nucleotides. RefSeq lists it as uncharacterized. The record is from RefSeq and is a predicted model, not a curated record. The transcript has 5 exons. Lineage: Eukaryota; Metazoa; Arthropoda; Insecta; Lepidoptera; Pyralidae.